This is a long non-coding RNA of Manduca sexta (tobacco hornworm), 463 nucleotides long. RefSeq lists it as uncharacterized. The record is from RefSeq and is a predicted model, not a curated record. NCBI's taxonomy places the organism in Eukaryota, Metazoa, Arthropoda, Insecta, Lepidoptera, Sphingidae. The transcript is spliced from 3 exons.
CCGCCGCGCUGCCUUGGAAUACGAUAAGGCGGUGCAAUGUUGUGCCGCGCUCUGUUCACAAUAAUCGCCGUAUCAUGUACGUUCCCACGUAUAAAACACGUACACGCUCAGGGCACACAGCGUAUAGUUCAGAUAAAAGGUUUCAAUUAAUAUUGUCAAUUAACAAUUGAGUUUAACAAACUAAUAAUAUCAACGAGUGGUUAAAACAUUUUAAAUGCGUUUGAAUUAAAAGUUUUUUUGAAAUAGCAAUUCGUGGACAGUGUUUAGGCAAUAAAUUUGAUAUGUGUACUUAUAUUGAGUGGUUUACAAAAGGAAGAUCUGGAUGUGAACAUGUUGAAGAAACUUGAACGUCAUGGCUUGAAUAUUAAUGAUAUGAACAAUGAGAAUCUGAGGGAUGAUUGUUUAAACAGCGCAAAAACAACUGUUAAAGAUGAAUAUUCAAAUACUGAAGCUACAACAUCAA